GACCACCAGUGGCGAAGGCUUCUCACCAGAACGGACCUGACGGCAAGGGACGAAAGCUAGGGGCGCGAACCGGAUUAGAUACCCGGGUAGUCCCAGCUGUAAACGGAUGCGACUUACAUGUAUGCCCUACGACAGGCAUCGGAUCGCUAGGAAUAGGCAUGGGAGC
This 166-nucleotide ribosomal RNA is filed under the name uncultured euryarchaeote. Its description in RNAcentral is "partial 16S ribosomal RNA". It matches the Rfam family "Archaeal small subunit ribosomal RNA", at positions 655 to 877 of the family's 1478-position model. The record is from RNAcentral. Lineage: Archaea; Methanobacteriati; Methanobacteriota.